This 890-nucleotide ribosomal RNA is filed under the name Streptomyces sp. RNAcentral describes it as "bacterial SSU rRNA". It matches the Rfam family "Bacterial small subunit ribosomal RNA", at positions 8 to 916 of the family's 1533-position model. Lineage: Bacteria; Bacillati; Actinomycetota; Actinomycetes; Kitasatosporales; Streptomycetaceae. The record is from RNAcentral.
AGAGUUUGAUCCUGGCUCAGACGAACGCUGGCGGCGUGCUUAACACAUGCAAGUCGAACGAUGAAGCCCUUCGGGGUGGAUUAGUGGCGAACGGGUGAGUAACACGUGGGCAAUCUGCCCUUCACUCUGGGACAAGCCCUGGAAACGGGGUCUAAUACCGGAUAACACUCCUGCCUGCAUGGGUGGGGGUUAAAAGCUCCGGCGGUGAAGGAUGAGCCCGCGGCCUAUCAGCUUGUUGGUGGGGUAAUGGCCUACCAAGGCGACGACGGGUAGCCGGCCUGAGAGGGCGACCGGCCACACUGGGACUGAGACACGGCCCAGACUCCUACGGGAGGCAGCAGUGGGGAAUAUUGCACAAUGGGCGAAAGCCUGAUGCAGCGACGCCGCGUGAGGGAUGACGGCCUUCGGGUUGUAAACCUCUUUCAGCAGGGAAGAAGCGAAAGUGACGGUACCUGCAGAAGAAGCGCCGGCUAACUACGUGCCAGCAGCCGCGGUAAUACGUAGGGCGCAAGCGUUGUCCGGAAUUAUUGGGCGUAAAGAGCUCGUAGGCGGCUUGUCGCGUCGGAUGUGAAAGCCCGGGGCUUAACCCCGGGUCUGCAUUCGAUACGGGCAGGCUAGAGUGUGGUAGGGGAGAUCGGAAUUCCUGGUGUAGCGGUGAAAUGCGCAGAUAUCAGGAGGAACACCGGUGGCGAAGGCGGAUCUCUGGGCCAUUACUGACGCUGAGGAGCGAAAGCGUGGGGAGCGAACAGGAUUAGAUACCCUGGUAGUCCACGCCGUAAACGUUGGGAACUAGGUGUUGGCGACAUUCCACGUCGUCGGUGCCGCAGCUAACGCAUAAGUCCCCGCCUGGAGAGUACGGCCGCAAGGCUAAAACUCAAAGGAAUUGACGG